AUCCUGGCUCAGGAUGAACGCUGGCGGCGUGCUUAAUACAUGCAAGUCGAACGAAGCACUUACGACAGAUCCCCUCGGGGUGAAGAUGUUGUGACUUAGUGGCGGACGGGUGAGUAACGCGUGGGUAACCUGCCUCAUGCAGGGGGAUAACAGUUAGAAAUGACUGCUAAUACCGCAUAAGCGCACGGAUUCGCAUGUUUCUGUGUGAAAAGAUUUAUCGGCAUGAGAUGGACCCGCGUCUGAUUAGGUAGUUGGUGAGGUAACGGCCCACCAAGCCCGCGAUCAGUAGCCGACUUGAGAGAGUGAUCGGCCACAUUGGGACUGAGACACGGCCCAGACUCCUACGGGAGGCAGCAGUAGGGAAUAUUGCACAAUGGGGGAAACCCUGAUGCCAGCGACGCCGCGUGAGUGAAGAAGUAUUUCGGUAUGUAAAGCCCUAUCAGCAGGGAAGAUAAUGACGGUACCUGAAUAAGAAGCCCCGGCUAACUACGUGCCAGCCGCCGC
Molecule: ribosomal RNA, 504 nt
Filed under: uncultured bacterium
Lineage: Bacteria
Description: bacterial SSU rRNA
Rfam family: Bacterial small subunit ribosomal RNA
Source: RNAcentral